Salvelinus namaycush (lake trout) is the source of this 274-nucleotide long non-coding RNA. RefSeq lists it as uncharacterized. The record is from RefSeq and is a predicted model, not a curated record. NCBI's taxonomy places the organism in Eukaryota, Metazoa, Chordata, Actinopteri, Salmoniformes, Salmonidae. The transcript is spliced from 3 exons.
UCCAGAGGUGCUGCUGGUGAAGGAGGAGGGGUAUGAGGAGGGUCUGGGGAACCCUGAGGGGACAAUGGUCAUGGAGGACAACCAGACUACACCUCGUCCUGAACCCACAGAGGAACCGGCCGAGCAGGACAGGAACACACACACAGUCAGUCUUACUGAGUCAGUAGACAUGGAGGAUGGGAAGCAUGAUCUGCUGCUGGUCAAAGAGGAGACGAUAGAGGACGGGUGGACUAAAGAUGGGGAAGCAAGGUGGUUGGCUGGAGGGUAACAGAGU